Molecule: long non-coding RNA, 1009 nt
Filed under: Fragaria vesca (wild strawberry)
Lineage: Eukaryota; Viridiplantae; Streptophyta; Magnoliopsida; Rosales; Rosaceae
Description: long non-coding RNA (FVES_LNC004741)
Source: RNAcentral
GAGCGGUGCCGCCUGAAAGCAAGGGCUGCCCCGAGCUUCCCUUCGCCGGAACUUCCUCCUCCGGCCACCAAUCCGGGCAAGCUUGGUAUGGUUUUGUAGCCCUCCAACCCAGCAACCUUGCCCUAAAAGGACUCACUCCCUCUUGAGCUAGGUAAGGAGAAAUUUGAGGUGGAAGUUUUAUGGUGUUUUUGAUGUUUUUAGUCGAUUGCCCUAGUUAGGCUUAGAAUUGGUGUUUGUGCUAGUUAUGAAAGUUGUAGAGCUUGAUGAGAGGAAGAUGCUGUUAAAAUUUCAUAGGUUUUGGAGGUCGCCGGAAUUGACCUCCGGCCGCCGCUGUCGGCGGAGCCGCCGGCGGCACCGCCGCCGGUUAGGAGAUUUUUAUGGUUUUUGAUGUAGAAUAUUAAGGGGAUAUUAUUGAAGUGAAUUAUGGAAUUUUUGGAUGAGAUUUGGAUAGGUUUGUGAAUUUCCGAAGUUUGGUAUUUUUGGCGGUUAAUUAAUGUAGAAUCCGGCCGUAGGAUUUAAGUCGUAUUUUGGGGAGGUUGUAUUUACGACUGUUGAGUAUGAUAUUUAAGUUCGGAUUGUUCCGAUGUAAGAAUAUCGAAGUUAGGCAAUGAUGAGCGUAGUAAUGGCUCUCGGGUAAUUUUGCCUAUUUUGAUUAAAUAUUAGAUAUUGGUUGGGAAAUUAAUAUUAUAUUUGGAACAGGACGUGAAGAGGCUCGAGCAGACGAGACCCCAGAUUGACAUCAGGCUUAGGCCUAAUUCGUGAGUGGACGUUUAUUUUAAAUAAAUGCAUGCUAUAGUUCAUGGUUGAACAAUUAAUAUUGCGGAAUAUUUUAACGUCAUUUUAAUUUGACGAUUUUUAUUUUCUCUUGGAGAGCUACCGAAAAUGGGAUUUUCGGUGGAUAUAAAUAUGUAUUUAUGAGAGAGUAUGUAUAUAAAUGCUAGCUAGCCAUAUGUGUCUGUCCACCUUAAUGGCGUAGCAUAUAGCCGCAUUAUGGUGUGACGUGAGNNNN